AGUGAACGCUGGCGGUAGGCCUAACACAUGCAAGUCGAACGGCAGCACAGUAAGAGCUUGCUCUUACGGGUGGCGAGUGGCGGACGGGUGAGGAAUACAUCGGAAUCUACUUUUUCGUGGGGGAUAACGUAGGGAAACUUACGCUAAUACCGCAUACGACCUACGGGUGAAAGCAGGGGAUCUUCGGACCUUGCGCGAUUGAAUGAGCCGAUGUCGGAUUAGCUAGUUGGCGGGGUAAAGGCCCACCAAGGCGACGAUCCGUAGCUGGUCUGAGAGGAUGAUCAGCCACACUGGGACUGAGACACGGUCCAGACGCCUACGGGAGGCAGCAGUGGGGAAUAUGGGACAAUGGGCGCAAGCCUGAUCCAGCCAUACCGCGUGGGUGAAGAAGGCCUUCGGGUUGUAAAGCCCUUUUGUUGGGAAAGAAAAGCAGCAGGUUAAUACCCCGCUGUUCUGACGGUACCCAAAGAAUAAGCACCGGCUAACUUCGU
Molecule: ribosomal RNA, 491 nt
Filed under: uncultured bacterium
Lineage: Bacteria
Description: partial 16S ribosomal RNA
Rfam family: Bacterial small subunit ribosomal RNA
Source: RNAcentral